GAUGAAGAACGCAGCGAAAUGCGAUAAGUAAUGUGAAUUGCAGAUUUCAGUGAAUCAUCGAAUCUUUGAACGCACCUUGCGCCUUGUGGUAUUCCACAAGGCAUGCCCGUUUGAGUAUCAUUAAAUCAUCAACUCUAAAACCUUUGUGGUUUUUUUAGAGCUUGGUCUUGAGGGUUUUGCAGGCUUUUUUUUUUUCGAGUCUGCUCCCUUUAAAUGCAUUAGCGAGACUUCCCUAUGCUGAACCGUCUCUUUGACGUGAUAAUUAUCUGCGUCGAAUUCUGGUUCUCGUUGGGCUUGCUUCUAAUCGUCUGUUAAAGACAAAACGGAUUUGGGUGCAUAUAUGCGCCUUUUUCCAAAACCUUUUUUGAUCUCAAAUCGGGUAGGACUACCCGCUGAACUUAAGCAUAUCAAUAAGCGGAGGA
This 422-nucleotide unclassified non-coding RNA is filed under the name soil metagenome. RNAcentral's name for it is "partial contains 5.8S ribosomal RNA, internal transcribed spacer 2, and large subunit ribosomal RNA". The stretch from base 1 to 120 matches the Rfam family "5.8S ribosomal RNA", at positions 35 to 154 of the family's 154-position model. The record is from RNAcentral.